AGUGAACGCUGGCGGUAGGCCUAACACAUGCAAGUCGAACGGCAGCACAGUAAGAGCUUGCUCUUACGGGUGGCGAGUGGCGGACGGGUGAGGAAUACAUCGGAAUCUACUUUUUCGUGGGGGAUAACGUAGGGAAACUUACGCUAAUACCGCAUACGACCUACGGGUGAAAGCAGGGGAUCUUCGGACCUUGCGCGAUUGAAUGAGCCGAUGUCGGAUUAGCUAGUUGGCGGGGUAAGGGCCCACCAAGGCGACGAUCCGUAGCUGGUCUGAGAGGAUGAUCAGCCACACUGGAACUGAGACACGGUCCAGACUCCUACGGGAGGCAGCAGUGGGGAAUAUUGGACAAUGGGCGCAAGCCUGAUCCAGCCAUACCGCGUGGGUGAAGAAGGCCUUCGGGUUGUAAAGCCCUUUUGGUGGGAAAGAAAAGCAGCAGGUUAAUACCCCGCUGUUCUGACGGUACCCAAAGAAUAAGCACCGGCUAACUUCGUG
RNAcentral lists this ribosomal RNA (492 nucleotides) under uncultured bacterium. RNAcentral's name for it is "partial 16S ribosomal RNA". It matches the Rfam family "Bacterial small subunit ribosomal RNA", at positions 29 to 507 of the family's 1533-position model. The record is from RNAcentral.